RNA transcript from Marmota monax (woodchuck), 4119 nucleotides. It is a transcript of the gene named hereditary hemochromatosis protein homolog, with no coding region annotated. The record is from RefSeq and is a predicted model, not a curated record. Lineage: Eukaryota; Metazoa; Chordata; Mammalia; Rodentia; Sciuridae. The transcript has 7 exons.
AGACGCGGUCCGCGGGAGGGGAGGGCAGGAAGGUGAGGCUGGGAGAAGGCCAUAUCCGAGAAUGAGGAAGAAACAGUAGGACAAUGGGAAAGUGGGUCCCCAGCGAGGAGAACGUUGGCCGUGGGACGGGCAGAACCGAGGGGAGGGCGGGAGCGAAUCUCAAAAAGCCUGGACGUUUUGCCCGCUUCCGGCGACAGAAAUUGUCGGGUUCAGUGGGGGUUUAAAAUCAGAAGUUCCUUCUGGGGCCGCUGUGACCCGUGUACUUUGGGGUCUAAGGAGAGGACUCCGUGUUUCCCACGACCUCCGGGCACCCUCGCCGUUUGUACAAGAGCACAGCAGCCUGGACACCAGCAGCAGACCUGCAGGUCCCUGCCUGUAAAAAUUUUGCUUGACUUACCCAGCUCCCAGCAGGGAAUUCUCAACUGCACUAUGACAUGGCUUCCACUGCUUCUCCUCUUCUCCUUUCUUGGCCCUUCACAGAGCUAUGCUUGUCUGGAAGACCCAGAAGGUGAGUUGCCAUCUAGGAUGCCCAGGGUUCUUUCCACGCCUUCUCAGAUGCCCUGGACGCCACCCACUUCAAACAGCUCCUGUGGUAUGGAAAUUUUCCAGGCAGUUGUUUCUCAGCAAGGACCCUGCUCUUUCCCUUAGAGGAUAAAGUAAAUAACAUAAUUUUUUAAAGUUCUGAGGUCCUUUAGCUCCAGUUGUGGGAAUUUGUGCAGAAUGUCUCCUGUGCCUAAACUGAAUGUAAGGGCGGCGGUAAGCCAACAAGGCACAGCUGGAGCCACAGAGCCAGCCUGGACCAGAGUCAGGAUCAUAUUUGGAAGGAGUUGGGAAAGGCUCAGGAAGAGGUAGAGCCAAAGGAGGGGUCCCCACAGUGUAGUAGAAUGCAGGAAAUGAAGGAUGGGUUGGGGCAAGAGGAGAAUUUCAGUAUGAUCAUGAAUUAUGUGGAGGGAGGGAACUGGACCGGGUUAAGGUGGCACCCUGUGAAGGAAUCUGGGGACUGAGAGGAGUCAGGGAGGGGCAGGUGAGAGGAGACCUAAAGUGCACAGUAAUCUGAUAUCUACUUUAAAUGGGUAGAUGAAAAAGAAAGAAGAAUUUCCUAGCAAAGUUUCAAAGCUGUUUGUUGCUAAAAAUUCACGCUUGGUUUCUACCACUUGUCGCAUAGCAUGGCAAAGUCAGGAAUGAAGUCCAUUGAAAAGCAGCCUUAGUUGAAAUUGGGAUUAUUCCUCCCUGAGGAUGCUACUGAAAUCUUCAUGACAUGACCUCAUUAAUUUCUGUGGGUUCAGAGUUAUCCACCUUUGUGAACUCCCAUAAUAUACUCAAUACCCAUUUGCAGAUAGAAUAAUAAGUUCUUCAGAAGAUGUUGAGAAUCUUAAAUCUCUCUUCUGUGCAAAUUGUCCAGCAUGAUUCUUGGUCCAGAACUGCAAAAUGUAUUUCAUUUCCCAUUUAUCCCCUUAAUGAAGAAUCAGACUUGAACCAUUUGAGACUACCUUUGAGGAACAAAGAUAGAAUCUGGGAGCUGGAAAGCCCUUCACCUGCAGGAAGAGGUCAACCUAAGGUAUCUGCAACACUUCAGUAGAGAGGAGAUGCCUAAUGAAGAACUGCGGGCCAGAUGGCCUCAGCUGGAGUGUUGUUGGAUCAGAGCUACGAUUUGGAAACCUUUAUCUAGAGCCAAUAUGUAGGGUAUAUUAGAUGGGGGAGGGGGAAAAAGAAAAUGCCUGCAGUGGAGAAGUUGCGGCGUGUAGGAACAUAAGAGGUGAAAGGAGUAAGGCAGCAUGGAGUUCUCAUUUCAGAGGCCAAAAGACCCUCCUGGACUCAUUGUAUGGAAAUGCAAAAUCUUAUUUAGAGAAAGAAACAAACAAAAAAAAACAGGAAUCGAGAGUUUCUUUCCUUUUAAAAAUAUUAAUAUUUGAUUCUAAUCUCCUACUGUUAGGGCAAAUCAGAUACACUUUCAGGUCCCAUCUGGCCCAUGGAUGUCCAGUUUCUUACCUUAGGCUGGAGAGUAUGCACCUCUGAACCUGUUGAUUAAAAAUACUGGAGAGGGAUGGGGAUGUGGCUCAGUGAUAGAGCACUUGCCUAUCAUGUGCAAAGCCCUGUUCAGUCCCCAGAAUUGCAAAACGAUUUUUUUUUUAAAUGAAGCACUGAAAAUGCAGUAGGUAAGUCUGUGUAGAAGAUAAAUAGGCCAUUUAAAUUACAUGUCUAGAAAGAGGGUACAGGUCAAGGUUGGAAAUACCCCAUAGAACGGUUCUCUACACAGGAUGAGUCUCUCUCUUAUCCCCUCAGGGCCAUUUAGCAAGUUCUGAAGACAUUUUGUGUUGUUAGAGCUGAGAAGUGCUACUAGAACUUAAUGCCUAGGGUCCAAAGAUGCAGCUAAACAUUGCACAGAAAUCCAUUCACAACCCUAACCUGGCCCCAGAUACUAGCAGUGCUGAGACUGAAGGCCCUGGGUUAGAAAACUGUUUGCAGGGGGUUAUCAGUUCAAGUGUGGGAGAUGAAUUAGGCAUAGAAAGAGGAAAACAGAAGAGAAAGAAAGCAGCUGUACAUGGGAUGAAGUGGUGUUUGGGGAACAGCUCUGUGAAAGCACAGGAAGAAGAGCCAGGCACAGACAGGCUCCUGAGAGGGAGUAAAUCACCAAGAGGAGCUGCCUGGUCUCAGUGUUCUGAUCCUGUUACUCAGUAGGAACCAGAGCAUUCAACACUGGGGUCUGUGGGAGACACUGGAAGGUUCCGUGGAGUGGAGAGAGUUGGUACAGAAUGUGAAGCUCUUUGGGAGGGAAUUCUUGGUGUUGCUGUGGGACAUGAAGCAGCAUAGCCAGCAGCCUGGGCCUCAUAUUUUGCAGAUGGCUCUGGGCUGUGACCUCAAGGAGAAUGGCAACUUCAAGAGCUUCUGGAAAUACAGCUUCGAGGGACAGGACUACCUCACAUUCCAGCCAGCAACACUCUGCUGGAAGGCUGAUGCUCCUGAGGCCCAAAGCAUGGCACAGAGUUUGAAGAAGGAUAGAGACUUGGCCCAGCACCAUGGUGCCUUUAUCAAUGGUGACUGCCAGCACUAUCUUCAGAAGUACCCAGGACCUGGGAAGAAAGCUUUGGUGCAAUCAGAGUCUCCUUCAGUGUCUGUGACCAGCUGUCAGAGCUCUUCCUGGGAAAUAGUGCUGCAGUGCCAAGACCUGUGCUUCUUCCCUUGUGCUAACAUGCUGAGCUUGUGGAGGGGCCAGGAAGCCCUGCCCUUGGUCCACAGUGGGUAUCGGCUGAAUGGAAAUGGAAUCUGUCAGUGCUGGGUGAAUGUGACUGUCCCUAGAGGAGAAGAAGCCAUGUACUCCUGCCAUGCUAAGCAUGGAGGCCUGAAGGAGCCCCUCAUCAUCAAGUGGGACUUCUCAUCUGACUGUACACGCCCACAACCCUCUGCUUGGGUGUUCAUUUUGGCAGGUGUUUCGACCAUACUUGGCAUUGCAGGUCUCUGGGAAAAGCUAAUCUAAUCAGUGACUGGAUGGAUAUUGACUCUACUGCUUACCACUCCAUGCAGUGCAAUUGAUCCAUUUUACCUCUCCAUUCUCCAUGAAGGAUGCCAAUCUUCCCACUUCUUGUCAUAGCAGGUGGGGAGAGGGUAGCAAAUGCAGAGGGUGUACCUCCUUUGUUAUUAUUUGUCCUGUUAUGAUUUAGAUAUGAAGCGUCCCCCAAAAACUCAUUUGCUGGAAACAUGACCCAUAACAUAGCAAUGGUCAGAGAUGAAAAGAAUGGAAUAAGAGAGCUGUAACCGCAUGAGUGGAUUUAUCCAUUUGAUGACUUGAAUCUUUGAAUGGACUACUAGGUGGUUACUGUAGGCAGGUUGGUCAUGGUAGGAGGAAGUAGGUCACUCAGGGCAUGUGAUUGGGGAUUGAUUAUAUCUUGAGGAGCAGAGCCCUCCUCAUGUUCCCUCUCUGCUUCCCUGCUCCCAUGAGCUGACAGCUUUCCUCCACCACACCCUUCUACCAUGAUGCUCUGCCUCACCUCAUGCCCAGAACAAUGGACUGAACCUCUGAAAUCAUCAGCUCCCCCAAAACUGUUUCUCCUCUAAGUUGUUCUUAUCAUGUAUUUUGAUCACAGCAAUAAAAAGCUGACUAACAAGUCACUGGUUACUUCA